Molecule: transfer RNA, 73 nt
Filed under: Acromyrmex echinatior (Panamanian leafcutter ant)
Lineage: Eukaryota; Metazoa; Arthropoda; Insecta; Hymenoptera; Formicidae
Rfam family: tRNA
About the family: Transfer RNA (tRNA) molecules are approximately 80 nucleotides in length. Their secondary structure includes four short double-helical elements and three loops (D, anti-codon, and T loops).
Source: Rfam by way of RNAcentral
ACCUCAGUGGCUUAAAGGCUUAGGACGCUUGCCCGAAAAACAAGAGAUCCGAGUUCGAUUCCUGGCCGAGGUA